Long non-coding RNA from Sparus aurata (gilthead seabream), 547 nucleotides. The record is from Ensembl. Lineage: Eukaryota; Metazoa; Chordata; Actinopteri; Spariformes; Sparidae.
UGAGAUCACAGAAGUCUGAUUUAACGUUAAGUCAGCUGAAGCUAAUGACCCGUGAAACCAACGGUAACGUCAAAGUAAAGUUAUCUGAAGCCAGUCUUACCUUUAGUUCAAAGUUUCCUGUAGUUGAGUUAUUCCUAGAGAUUUCUUGUGCAGCGGAAUGAACCCGGAAUGAGACUCCUUCGGGAAUAAAACACGCCCAGUUGAGAUACAGGUAUGGAGGAGGUGAGGAGGUGGGACCGUUAGAGGAAGUAAGCUAACACGACCCCGCUCUGGAAUGCUACCAGGCUAAUGUGAGCUGUGUCACAACCUCGCAUUAGUACAAACGUUUUGUGUCUUAAUUAUUCAAAUUUCACAGAGCUGCAGUUUGUGCAUGACGUGGACUUUAUCUCCUGUCACAGCCUCUUGGUCAUGGGGUGAGCACGUGUGGGAAGCCUGCCACCCCCUGGUUUGUAUCGGGAAGCCAGAUGCCAGAGUCAGCUGCAGAAGAUCAGCCCUAGAAUUGGUCCUGUAUGCAGAGAAUGUCGGGUCUGGAUGUGGCCACAUGUAG